RNAcentral lists this ribosomal RNA (302 nucleotides) under uncultured bacterium. RNAcentral describes it as "partial 16S ribosomal RNA". It matches the Rfam family "Bacterial small subunit ribosomal RNA", at positions 508 to 807 of the family's 1533-position model. The record is from RNAcentral.
GCAGCCGCCACGGUAAUACGUAGGUGGCAGGCGUUGUCCGGAAUUAUUGGGCGUAAAGGGCUCGCAGGCGGUUUCUUAAGUCUGAUGUGAAAGCCCCCGGCUCAACCGGGGAGGGUCAUUGGAAACUGGGAAACUUGAGUGCAGAAGAGGAGAGUGGAAUUCCACGUGUAGCGGUGAAAUGCGUAGAGAUGUGGAGGAACACCAGUGGCGAAGGCGACUCUCUGGUCUGUAACUGACGCUGAGGAGCGAAAGCGUGGGGAGCGAACAGGAUUAGAUACCCGCGUAGUCCCUGUCUCUUAUAC